AGGCACUCCUCACCCAGUAACUGCUGAAAGAGAGCCCCGGGGAACCACAGUGAGAUGGGGCGAUGCUGUGGGGAGGAGGAUGCGCGUUCCUAGUGCAGCAAUCCCAGUCUGGGGGCUCUCCCACUGCGAUGUGUCAAGACCGACCUCUGAGACCUCCGUGCCCCAGUGAAGCUCAUAUUCAAAGCCUGGAGGUCUGUACAGAUAUUUCCUUCUGUGAAAUAAUGGGAUGAAACAGGAAAUGGGGCUGUUUGUGGAAACCAGCGCAGGCUUCAUCCUUUGAGGGUCUGCAACAUCCUGCAGAUGCUGUGCUGCAACCUGAAAGCAUCAUCAGACCGGUAAGAGAAAGAUGCUGUGAAUGCUGGAGGGCAAGAGCUGCCAUCGCAGCCACAGGAUCAGGAUGUGCUGUACCUGGGAACCAGAAUCCCACAUGUGUUCCAGCUAUAUUCAAAUCUAUCUGAUGGAUUCUAGCCUAGAAACUACGUUUAAAAUCUCCCGUGAAUAUUCUGUCUUCCAUAUACAAAUUUCC
Molecule: long non-coding RNA, 526 nt
Organism: Pezoporus occidentalis (night parrot)
Lineage: Eukaryota; Metazoa; Chordata; Aves; Psittaciformes; Psittacidae
Exons: 3
Source: RefSeq, a predicted model, not a curated record